AAAGUCCACACUUUUACCCUUGUACAAAGCCCCAAGCCCCUUUUACUUGCUUUUGGAGCCCUCACAGAGACCCUGUAGCUCAGAGGGGAUCUGAGUGUGGGUCAAACAGCAGAUAACAGCUGAGAAGGGUUUUAAGAAAAGGUUUCUGGCUGCUUCUUGGCUGUUUGCUUCCCGGCUGAGGAGGGAGCCCAUCUGUGCAAGCCUUCCUCCUUCAUUUCAGUGCUGGCAGCGAGCUGCAGUCUCUGCUUAGGAGCAGUGCCACGAGCUGUGCCUUCCAGGAACAGGAGAGGAUGCAGCGUGGCCGUGUGGGUGUGUGGUGCACCCUUUGGGCCCCAGACGCAGGGACAAGACAAGCACAAAAGGGAGAGUAGGAAAAUGGAAUAUGCACAACUGGUUUAAUGCCAUGGGUUGUACACGUUUCUGAUACCGGCGUUUGCACUCAUUACGUGAUGUGCUUUCUCUUUAAUGGAAUUCUCUUAGACGUGCUGCUGAUAGGCUCUCUUCCCAUCUCUCCUUGAAUUCAAACAUUAUGGCUGAUUGAAAAAUAAGCAUGCAUUUUUCUGCUUUUUUCUUCUUUCAGUGUUUUUUUUUGGUCAGGUGGAAACAAUGAGGUGAACUCAUUUGUGACAGGCCCUUCUUCAGGCCUCUCCAACGUGGUCUGUAACGAGGGCACAGUGGAAAUUCCACAAAGAAGCCCAGAAGCUUUUCAGUUUGGGCAACCGUGUUGUUGUCUGCGUUUUAUUCGCAUCAAUCAGGUUUUUUUCACACCCAUCUUAGCUUCUUAUUGGUACCACAAGUCAACGCUUGCUGGAAAACGCCACCCUUGGAAAACAACCUGUAACGUACGACUGCUGUCUCUUCGUGUAUUUUCUGCUCAGAUCUUAACAUGCGCUUCCUCUGAAGGCCACCAGCGAUAAUAUUCACUCCCUCUCCAGAACCACAAGUCUGAUUGUGGUGCCAUCCAUGUAACAGAAUGCUGUUGGUGUGUGCUGGUGUUCUCUGUUCAUGCACGUAAACCUGGGACUCCCAGGGAACUUAAGAAGCAUGAGCCUUGUUUGUGAAUCUCCAGAUGGGGGCAGACAUUGAGAUGCACGGCUAGAAUAUUAGGCUGGGAUUGAUUACCCCAGUUCAGCUGUCAGGGAGCAGAAAGAAUUAAACCAAAGUCUCCUGGAUCCCAGGAAAAUGGCAUUACCGAUACCUCAACAUUUGGAGCAUCACGUAAGUCCCUUGGGAAUAUUGUCCUUUGCAUUUAUUAAAAAGGCCAGUAAAAAAUAUUCAGUCUUGGUUCACUCUGAAAUAAUUAUUUUCAACGGUAUGCUGCACUGAAAAAUCCCUGGUUCUAACAACUUUGGUUCUGAUGAUGCUUGUUCAAGCAUUUAGAGAGCACAUAAACACUCAUUAAUGCCUAUUUCAUGUGUAAUAUAGUGACAGAUACAAGGCCCAUUAUUGACUGAGGCUCAGACACAAGGCUUAAAUUUCACUGUAGACACUUCACUUGGUGAAUGCAAUCUAUAAGAAAUUCCAUAUAACGCCUCAAAUGUUUGUUUCCAUUAUCUUCUCCAAUUA
Long non-coding RNA from Gallus gallus (chicken), 1566 nucleotides. RefSeq lists it as uncharacterized. Lineage: Eukaryota; Metazoa; Chordata; Aves; Galliformes; Phasianidae. The transcript is spliced from 3 exons. The record is from RefSeq and is a predicted model, not a curated record.